This 440-nucleotide ribosomal RNA is filed under the name uncultured bacterium. RNAcentral describes it as "partial 16S ribosomal RNA". It matches the Rfam family "Bacterial small subunit ribosomal RNA", at positions 338 to 795 of the family's 1533-position model. The record is from RNAcentral.
CCUACGGGUGGCAGCAGUGGGGGAUAUUGCACAAUGGGGGAAACCCUGAUGCAGCAACGCCGCGUGUGGGAAGAAGGCUUUCGGAUUGUAAACCACUGUUCUGAGGGAAGAUAAUGACGGUAACCAUGUUGAAAGCUCCGGCUAACUACGUGCCAGCAGCCGCGGGAAUACGUGGGGAGCAAGCGUUGUCCGGAUUUACUGGGUGUAAAGGGUGCGUAGGCGGUGUGGCAAGUCAGACGUGAAAACCACAGGCUCAACCUGGGGACUGCGUUUGAAACUGUGGGGCUUGAGUGACGGAGAGGUCAGCGGAAUUCCCGGUGUAGCGGUGAAAUGCGUAGAGAUAGGGAGGAACACCAGUGGCGAAGGCGGACGACUGGGCUUUAACUGACGCUGAGGCACGAAAGCGUGGGUAGCAAACAGGAUUAGAUACCCCAGUAGUU